CGUGACCUACCCUGUAGUUCCGGGCUUUUGUAGAUGAUCCAAUGUGAAAAUCAGAAGCUCGUCUCUACAGGUAUCUCACAG
This 81-nucleotide microRNA precursor is filed under the name Lutzomyia longipalpis. Its description in RNAcentral is "mir-10 microRNA precursor family". It matches the Rfam family "mir-10 microRNA precursor family". From Rfam's summary of the family: In this case the mature sequence comes from the 5' arm of the precursor. Lineage: Eukaryota; Metazoa; Arthropoda; Insecta; Diptera; Psychodidae. The record is from RNAcentral.